RNAcentral lists this transfer RNA (62 nucleotides) under Luperus sulphuripes. RNAcentral describes it as "tRNA-Asp". Lineage: Eukaryota; Metazoa; Arthropoda; Insecta; Coleoptera; Chrysomelidae. The record is from RNAcentral.
AAAAUUUAGUUAAAAAAAUAACAUUGGCCUGUCGCGCUAAAAUUAUCCAUAAAUAAUUUUUA